GAAAUGCGAUACGCAAUGCGAAUUGCAGAAUUCCGCGAGUCAUCAGAUCUUUGAACGCAACUUGCGCUGAAGGGAUAUCCCUUCAGCAUGCUUGUUUCAGUGUCUAGAAACUUCAAAUAACUUAAUGUGAUUGAGAUGGUUUACUCCACUUCUCUCAUGAAAUAUGUAAAUGUGGAUCUUUUGAUCCAGCGAAGUAGUCACAUUUCAUAUGUGAUUUCGUUGGUAUUUCAAAUUAUCCGAAAACAUCUGCAAAAGACAAAACUCUUCAAUAUGCAUCUGAAAUCAAGCAAGAUUACCCGCUGAACUUAA
RNAcentral lists this unclassified non-coding RNA (309 nucleotides) under uncultured fungus. RNAcentral describes it as "sequence contains ITS1". The stretch from base 1 to 105 matches the Rfam family "5.8S ribosomal RNA", at positions 50 to 154 of the family's 154-position model. The record is from RNAcentral. Lineage: Eukaryota; Fungi.